GACGAACGCUGGCGGCGUGCUUAACACAUGCAAGUCGAACGGUGAAGCGCCUUCCUUUUUGGUGGGUGUGGAUGAGUGGCGAACGGGUGAGUAACACGUGAGUAACCUGCCCCCUUCUUCUGGAUAACCGCAUGAAAGUGUGGCUAAUACGGGAUAUUCUGGGUCUGUCGCAUGAUGGGUCUGGGAAAGAUAUUGUUUCGGUGGGGGAUGGGCUCGCGGCCUAUCAGCUUGUUGGUGGGGUGAUGGCCUACCAAGGCGGUGACGGGUAGCCGGCCUGAGAGGGUGGACGGUCACACUGGGACUGAGACACGGCCCAGACCCCUACGGGAGGCAGCAGUGGGGAAUAUUGCACAAUGGGUGCAAGCCUGAUGCAGCGACGCCGCGUGAGGGAUGGAGGCCUUCGGGUUGUGAACCUCUUUCGCCAGUGAAGCAGGCCUGCCUCGUUUGUGGGUGGGUUGACGGUAGCUGGAUAAGAAGCGCCGGCUAACUACGUG
Molecule: ribosomal RNA, 494 nt
Filed under: uncultured bacterium
Lineage: Bacteria
Description: partial 16S ribosomal RNA
Rfam family: Bacterial small subunit ribosomal RNA
Source: RNAcentral